GUUCUUUGUCAACUAUGUCAAAUAGGGAAUAUAUAUUUUCUUAACCUAAAGUUUACUUCCUGUUAUGGCCUUUAAUUUCCCUUCUUUUUUCCUUCUUGAUUUAUUUUGUCUUAUAUUUUAUGUAUUCUCAUAAAUUGCUUUUCCUCAUUUUUCAAAUUAAGGUAGAGGAGUUUGUAAACAAACUAAAAAAAUUAAUAGAGCUGUUGGAAAGAUUCUAUUUUCUUACAUAAGUGGACUGCCAUACAUUUGCAUAUAUUUGUUUUUAGAUAAAUUUAUAAUGAUCUGUCAUCUGCAAGAUCAUUUUUAAAUUUAAUUUUCUCUGGAUUCUUUUUGACUGCAGGAUAUUUCAUACACUUGAAAAAGCACAAUUUUCUCUGGAACAAGCAUAUUACUGGAAAGCCUUUAUAAAGUUAAUCAGGAAGACUUGCAAAGUGGCUCAAUAUGUAAAUAUGCAAGAGAGUUUCCAGAACAGACUAUCAGAUCCACAAAGAGUGAGAUGGGGAGAGGCAUACAGGAUGCCCCGGCUUGAGCACAAAGCAGGACAUCCACCCGUCAGCCUGCGCAGAGACAGGUAAGGAUCAGAGAUGCUUUGUUAGCCCCUGGAUUGCAGAGGCAACCCCAGGGAGACCCACAGUUCCCCUUGUAAAUUGAGCCUAUCACUGGCAAUGCUGUGUGUCUGUGUAGGGGCAGCAGGGUGUCUCACAGCCAUGUCAUUUUCUCUUUGAGAUUCGUUGAAGCACUUUGCUCCUAGGACCAGGAAAGGCUCCCCGGUGGCCUAUUCCCUGCCAGACUGGUAUAUCCACCACAGCAAGUCACCAACAGCCAGCUAGUGAGAGUAAGUAUAUUAAAGCACUCAUGUUUUUGUUUAUUUUUGCAGGAAAGAAAAUAGCCCAAUACUGAUAGCAAGCAUGUGGUAUGGCAACUCCAGUUUCUCUUUUAUAAUAGGCUGCUCUUUGGGGGACAUAGCCUAGGUGGUCAUAAAACCUGAGUUCUGGAAACCUGUGACAUUUUGUGCCUCCCUAGAGUCUUGUGUCUUUGGGAAAUGGCACUGCAGGACUGACCAUGUCCGCCUAUCAUAGAAAUAACCCAUCCCAAAGCGUUCUUGUUAAAGACAAAAGGCAGUGCCUAACAAGCUACAAAUACAUGAAAUCCUAAGUUUCUAUGCUGAUUAUUGAGUUAUGGGGAGCGAAUGUUCCCAUAAUAUUUGAAAUGUCUUAGAAAUUCCUAUUUGUGGACAUGUAAACUUUAUCUCCAAAACCACCUCUCUUGGAUUGAGAAGUAAAAUAAAAAAUCAUUUCAGGUCAUUUCCCCAUUUUUUUGGCUUGAAAAUAGGACCACUGUAGAUAUAUCCAGGCUGUUAUCCAGUGUAUCCUACUUCCUACAAUGCAUCUUUUGUCUUCAGGAUUCUGGUCCCCCUGUUGUUUAAAAUGAAUAUGUGUGGUGGCUCACGCCUGUAAUUCCAGCACUUUGAGAGGCUGAGGCGGGUGGAUCACCUGAGGUCAAGAGUUCAAGACCAGCCUGACCAAUAUGGUGAAACCCUGUCUCUACUAAAAAUACAAAAAUUAGCUUGACAUGGUGGUGUGCACCUAUAGUCCCAGCUACUUGGGAUGCUGAGACCGGAGAAUUGCUUAAACCCAGGAGGUGGAGGUUGCAAUGAGUCAAGAUCGUACCACUGGACUUCAGCCUGAGCAACAGAGCAAGACUCCAUCUCAAAAAAAAAAAAAAAGGAUACUCUGUGCUAACAGGUUACAUCAAAGUGGAUGAGCUGAGCAAGAAGAGACAGGCUUAGAAGGGGAAGCAGGAGACUAGGGGCCUCCUGCAAUGCUGCCUGUGCUUGCAGGAACAGAGCAGGUCAGGCAGCCUGAGGUGAGGGUAGGACCUGAGUAUCCCAGGCAGAUGUGGAGUGAUGGGUUUCCUGAGCGCCCUUGACCCUGAGCACUGACUGAGGGAUGCCCAAUCCCUGAAUAGACCAAUAACAAGAUCUGAAAUUGAGGCAGUAAUUAACAGCGUACCAACGAAAAAAAAAAAAAAAAAGCCCAAGACCAGACAGAUUCACAGCUGAAUUCUAGCAGAGGUACAAAGGGGAGCUGGUACCAUUACUUCUGAAACUAUUUCAAACAAAAGAAAAAGAGGGAAUCCUCCCUAACUCAUGUUUAAUCAGGUCCGGAUCAUCCCUGAUGACCAAAACUGGCAACACAAUCACAUCACACACACACACACACACACACACACACACACACACAGAAUCUCAUGCUGAGAUCCCUGAUGAAUAUAGAUACAAAAAUCCUCAAUAAAAUACUGCAACCAAGCCAGCAACACAUCAAUAAGCUUAUCAGCCCA
Molecule: long non-coding RNA, 2340 nt
Filed under: Aotus nancymaae (Ma's night monkey)
Lineage: Eukaryota; Metazoa; Chordata; Mammalia; Primates; Aotidae
Description: lncRNA (ENSANAG00000039548.1)
Source: RNAcentral